RNAcentral lists this long non-coding RNA (4857 nucleotides) under Sorghum bicolor (sorghum). Its description in RNAcentral is "long non-coding RNA (SBIC_LNC003842)". Lineage: Eukaryota; Viridiplantae; Streptophyta; Magnoliopsida; Poales; Poaceae. The record is from RNAcentral.
UGAGGAGUGCUACCGCACAUGCAUUGUUAGGUUGAUGGCCGAUAUGAAACUUCAUUUUUUUGUGGGGGCGGACUGCGGAGUAGACUGUCAAUGAUGAUGGAAUGUUCGUGGUGCGAUGCAUGGUGUACUUGUACUAUGUUGUAAACCAAUGUAAAAAUGGGAUACUCGUUAGAUAAUAUGUCCUCUCUUCACUGAAUCAAUGGCUUGAUGAUGAUGAUGAUGUGUGCAACGCUAAUCGUUUUGAUGAUGCUUUAGGGCCUUUUUGGCUCCAGGGGCGAAGCUAGCAAUAAAAAUCAAGGUUGUGCACCACCAAAGCAAUACCUAAAUAUUUCUUUGCGAUAUAUGGUAAAUGUUAGUCAAAUUACUAAUGAAAUUUGCAUAUACCGUGGUGCCUGUUUACCAGGGUAAUAUAACAUGGCGUCGUCCUGCUCCCAUUGAUAUCAUCGUGCCGCGAGUUUGAUUGCGCCGUAAAUGCACACCGCCAUUUUGACAAGAGUUAGUGUAGAAUUACACGGUGAACGCCCAAACUUUUGGCAGGCCUAAGACGCGGCAGUAACCAAACAAGGGUACAACGUGCCGCCUCAGGCGUGGCGCGCUGUGGCUAUGAGCCAGACAUGCCCUUACUCGGCAAAAGGAAAAUCUCAACCCAAAAACCAUCCACCUCAACAAGAAACCACAUCUUGAAACUACACCACGAAAUACAUUGAUUUUUCAAAUCAUAAAAAAACAGUCAGUGCAUUAGAAUCUCUCUCCCCCAAUCUUGUUUCUUCUCUUGAGUCUUUUACCUGUAUGCCAUUAUGAAAGAUCGACCAAACCAGGAGACAACUAAAAAGUUGUUUCGCACCGCUGUGCCCAACUUCAUCUUCGGCUAUACCUGUGUACCAUUCCAUCCAUUUUAAAGCCUAACGGCAGUUAAGUAGCUUGGCAAUAGACUUGAAUGCCCUUAAGCCAUUUGGUCUUCACAAUAAAUUUUUCUUGUCCCCUAUGCCACUGACUGCCAAUUUUCUUGUCCCCCGAGCCUGGCGCUAGACCAACUGAUCAUCAUACUUGACCAACAUUUCAAAUUAAGCACAUACAUAUUAGUGUUUUUCACUCGCAACAAAUCACCCAACAGUAUUUCUGUCAUGGCUUAUCAACCAACCGUAUUUUUUGCCAUGGCUAGUCACGUACAGAAGAUAACAUAUAUGAAAAGAAUGACAACGUUACCUGUACAUAACAUAGAAACUUAUUGGAUUCUCACCAUGCGUACACAUUAGCUUUCGAAAUUACAUAAUAAUAAUAAAAAUCUAGAUGAGAUGAAUUUGUAUUCGUAUUUCAUUCAUUCACGGCCACUGCAAACAUUUCUCCAAGCCGAACAAGACGACCGUAUCUAUCUUCUGUGGCUGCGCCCCUGACCCCACCUGGCAGAGUCAGAGGAGAGCUGCUCCUCCGCUGAGCAAACCGCUCUGCUCCAAUCCGCGGCGAGCAGCAUGGCUCCGCGGCCGCCGCCGGCGGAGCUGAUGGACAAGCUUGUGCAGAAGAUCCUCCUCCGCAUCCCGCCAGACGACCCCACGCGCCUCCUCGACGCUGCGCUCGUCUGCAAGCGUUGGUGCCGCAUCGUCUCUGUCGCCGGCGCUCUGCUCCGAUCCGCGGCGAGCAGCAUGGCUCCGCGGCCGCCGCCGGCGGAGCUGAUGGACGAGCUCGUGGAGGAGAUCCUCAUCUGCAUCCCGCCAGACGACCCCACGCGCCUCCUCCGCGCUGCGCUCGUCUGCAAGCGUUGGUGCCGCAUCGUCUCCGCCGCCGGCUUCCGCCUCCGAAAACAAAUUGAGCAUCAUCACGAAUGUCUUGAAUCACCACACAGGAUCUUAAUGUCUGGAUCACACUGGAAACAAAUGUGUUGCUGCGACGACGGCGCUGGUAGUGCGAGAUCCCCGGCCUCGUGUAGACGCUUUAGCUCCUCAGCGUUGCCCACGAGCUCCCCGUCGGCGGAGCGCGGCGGAUGCGGUCCAGGAGCGCCGCCAAGGGCCGGGUGAUGAUCCGGCUGCUGCUGCUGCGCGGUCCCAGCCGCCGCGGCGCGUGAGGCAGCAGCUGCGGCUGGCGCUGGCGGCAGCGGAGGAGGCGCGAGCGCGGCGUGCGCCGGCAGGCCCAGGUCCCACCAGAACGGGUGCGCCGCCGAGCAUCAGCCGCGUCGAGGAGGUCACGGAGCCACUCGAUCCCGCUCGCCCUCGCUCCUCUAUCUCCAGUGACUUGUAAGGGUAGGAAGGACAUUAUGCUAUCUGGGACCUACGUGUCAGACCUCUUAAACCGAAGAAAACGAACGGAAUAGAGACGGAAUGACAUAGAGGUAUAGCCAAAGAUGAAGUUAGGCACAGCGGUGCGAAACAGCUUUUUAGUGGUCUCCUGGUUUGGUCGAUCUUUCAUAAUGGCAUACAGGUAAAAGACUCUCUUCUCUCUCCCUCUUCUCCCAAUCCAUGACCACGACAUGCGUGGGCGGGUGUGCAUAUGGCCCGCUGCACGUGUCCACAGCCACAGCCACAGCGGUGCGCCGCAAGCGGCGUGCGACGACGGUGUGCGCAAGCGAGGGGCACGGCCAGCUGCUGGAGGGCAGCAAGGUGACCGGCAUGUCGUGCGGCUGAUGCGACAGCGCACUGGGGCGGGAGCGGGGACGCGGCACGCGGCGACGGCGGGCACGGUGCGAGCGGAGCGCGCGCACGGCAAUAGUGCGCGAGCGGGGCGCGACGAGCCAGUCGCGUUGCCACGACAACGGCGUUUACGGACGAGCUCUCGGUGACGGGCUGACGGCAUGAGGGCGGGUGUGUUGCGAGCGGCGGCCGGCGGGAGUGACUGGCCGGGCGCACGGCAAGCGGGGUUGCGCGGCCGCGGCGAUGAUGAUGACGACGCGCACGGGAGCUGGCUCGGCCUAGGCUGCGAAGUGCCAACAGGCUCCUCGACGGGCGAAACACACGGUGAGCCAAUGCGUAUACGUGGAACAAAAUUAAAUUAAACCCGUGGCCAAUGCUUAUACGUGGAUCAAAACUAAGAGUCUGGUUUCUUUUGCUAAAUUUUAGCUAGCUAAACUUUAAACACAUUGACUAAAAGAAGCUAAAUUAGUUUAGUUCCAUUAGUCACCUAAAAGUAGUUAAAAUAAUUUUAGCUAACUAAAAUUUAGCAAGAAGAACCAAACAGGCCCUGAGUUUACAAGGCAUUUGGAGCACCGAACUCAAAUCAGCAGUUACCACAUGUGUAUUCAAGAACUAGGUACUCUAGGUUAUAUGGUCUUGUACAAACUUAGUAUAACAAUUUAUAUUAUGGAAAAGUUUCACUCAAACCUUAUUAAUUUAAUGAGUUGUUUUAGAAACUUAUUUGGGCCUUGUUUAGUUCCAAUUUUUUUUGCAAAAUGAGCACUGUAGCACUUUCGUUUGUAUUUGACAAAUAUUGUCUAAUUAUAGACUAACUAGGCUCAAAAGAUUCGUCUCGUCAAUUCCGACCAAACUGUGCAAUUAGUUUUUAUUUUCGUCUAUAUUUAAUACUCCAUGCAUACGUCUAAAGAUUCGAUGUGACGGGGAAUUUGAAAAAUUUUGCAAAAUUUUCUAGGAAGUAAACAAGGCCUUGGACAAGUGCAUUGAAGAAGUUGAGCAACUUACAUGAGAAUUUAUCAAGAAAAAAACUUAUUUUGGAACUUCUGCUAUCCUUCUUUCAGUCAAGACGAGUUUGUUCGUUUGAGCUUAUCAGCCGAAUAGUCAUUCAGCGAUAUUUUUUUCUUAUAAGAAAUCAGUCAACAAUACUUUCUGCCAUGACUUACAGGCCAAACAAUUGUAACGCUAUAAAUAUAUUUGUUUUAGGAUUUCCACAAAAUUGUCACUUUAUUAUCCGCAAGAAUUACGCGCAGCUGCCAUGUUUAUUGGUUCAGAAAAAAAGAUUUAAAAGUUGAUUCAAGAUUAGCCUACGUUUGAAAAUAACGACAUAACAGGGGUCCCAAAGCGAACUUUCACGCUCAACUUUCCCUGCAAGAAUGGAUCGCGAGACCCACCCCAGAAGAGUACCCGAAGACAAAGGAAGGCGAGGGGCACCAUCCCAGAAACCUGCAAGAAAUCGAAUCGAGUCAGGGGAAGGAAAAAAAAAGAAAAGGGGAAGAGCACGCGCCGCCGCCAUGGCCGCCGCCUCCUCCCGCCGCGCGUCGCAACUGCUGGGGUCCGCCGCCUCCCGCCUCCUCCAUGCGCGGGGAUUCGCCGCGGCGGCCGCCGCGGCGCCCUCGCCGGCGGUCUUCGUCGACAAGAGCACCCGCGUGAUCUGCCAGGGCAUCACGGGGAAGAACGGCACCUUCCACACCGAGCAGGCCAUCGAGUACGGCACUAACAUGGUACGCCCCCGCCGCGGCCAUCCCUCAUCUGUCUCCCUUUGAUGUGCCCCUCAAUGGCUCGAUCCGUGUGCUCCGUUCCGUGCUGGGCGAUUCUAGGGUUUGGUAGAGCUCGUGCUGUGCGAUCUCGUGGGUGCGCGGUCGCCGAUCUCCAUUUCCUCAUGUCUUACUCUUUCGUUUGGCUACCUUACAUUCCGAUUGAGAGCGACCCUUAACGGAUACUGUUGGAGGCAAAAUGUUCGCAAUUAUAACUGCUGCUUAUAUGGUACGAGGUCUGAAAUUGUAGUUUUAAGCGGCAAAAAACUAGGGCUCAUUAUGAGUUGUUGAGUUCAUUUGAGCCAGCAUUUGUCUGGUAGACAAGAAGCACAAGCAUUUCUCAGGAAGCAUAAGUGUAUUGUGGUUUGAGAAAAAAAGGAUCCUCAUAGGAAACCUGAUUUGAACCAGCUUGAGAUUAUGAGAAUCAUACCCAUCAUGAAUGCUUUGAAACCUUUUAAGCUUUUCUAACCUAACCAAAAAAAAAA